AGUUGGAACCACCCCUUCCCAUCCCGAACAGGACCGUGAAACAACUCCACGCCGAUGAUAGUGCGGAUACCCGUGUGAAAGUAGGUAAUCGUCAGGC
Molecule: ribosomal RNA, 97 nt
Filed under: Pandoraea cepalis
Lineage: Bacteria; Pseudomonadati; Pseudomonadota; Betaproteobacteria; Burkholderiales; Burkholderiaceae
Source: RNAcentral